This 748-nucleotide ribosomal RNA is filed under the name uncultured Pelagibacteraceae bacterium. RNAcentral describes it as "bacterial SSU rRNA". It matches the Rfam family "Bacterial small subunit ribosomal RNA", at positions 99 to 884 of the family's 1533-position model. The record is from RNAcentral. Lineage: Bacteria; Pseudomonadati; Pseudomonadota; Alphaproteobacteria; Candidatus Pelagibacterales; Candidatus Pelagibacteraceae.
CAGACGGGUGAGUAACAUGUGGGUAUCUACCCUUUGGCCUGGAAUAACACGAGGAAACUUGUGCUAAUACCAGAUAAGUCUUUACGGAGAAAGCUUUAUGCACCAUUGGAUGAGCCUGCACUUGAUUAGUUUGUUGGUGGGGUAAUGGCCUACCAAGACUGUGAUCAAUAGCUGAUUUGAGAGGAUGAUCAGCCACAUUGGGACUGAGACACGGCCCAAACUCCUACGGGAGGCAGCAGUGGGGAAUCUUGCACAAUGGAGGAAACUCUGAUGCAGCGAUGCCGCGUGAGUGAAGAAGGCCUUUGGGUUGUAAAGCUCUUUCGUCGGGGAAGAAAAUGACUGUACCCGAAUAAGAAGGUCCGGCUAACUUCGUGCCAGCAGCCGCGGUAAUACGAAGGGACCUAGCGUAGUUCGGAAUUACUGGGCUUAAAGAGUUCGUAGGUGGUUGAAAAAGUUGGUGGUGAAAUCCCAGAGCUUAACUCUGGAACUGCCAUCAAAACUUUUCAGCUAGAGUAUGAUAGAGGAAAGCAGAAUUUCUAGUGUAGAGGUGAAAUUCGUAGAUAUUAGAAAGAAUACCAAUUGCGAAGGCAGCUUUCUGGAUCAUUACUGACACUGAGGAACGAAAGCAUGGGUAGCGAAGAGGAUUAGAUACCCUCGUAGUCCAUGCCGUAAACGAUGUGUGUUAGACGUUGGAAAUUUAUUUUCAGUGUCGCAGCGAAAGCGAUAAACACACCGCCUGGGGAGUACG